GUUUUAUGGACGGCUUAGAAGCCAUUCUUGCAGUCCAAGGUAAAACAACUAGGUCAAAUUCACUUUGGACCAAACAUUAUUCACAUUCUUCCAUCACGGGGAGAUUUGUUCGCUACAAUAAGAAAGCGACGAUUUAAAACACUGAACUUUAACUGCUUCAGUCAUCACCAUUAAGUAAUGCCCAUUUAUGGAUUCCACCAUCUCUAACUGUCGACUAAACUCUCAGCUAUAAAAACCUAACAACCACCACCUCCUCUUUAAAAAAAGAUUUAAAUAGUUUUAUCAAUGUACAAUAUAUCUAACCCUUAACCUCCUUUUCUCAAACUCUGACUUGAGCGUCGGAAUGCAUGCAAGUACACUGCCGCCCGCUGUUCUAACCAUCUACCACAAAUCUCCUUUAAAUUGUUUUUAAAUGAUAAACAGACUCUUGUGUUAAAAUUAAGAUUAUGAUUUUAUGUUGUUAUUUAAUGUGUCCUCUUGGAUGAAUUUUAUUAAGGACAUGAAAUUCAAAUCUAACAAAUAUGUUAAAGUCAUGUGUCCUUUGAUAACAAAUCAUCAAGCUCCUCGAGAAAAAUACGAUGAUAAUUCAAGAUUUAUUGAAUUAAUCCAAAAUCAUUGAAAAAGAAAAGGCAUGCGCCCUUGAAAUAAAAAUGGAUAACCAUUUUGGUCUAUAUGGUCAACAAGGUUAUUAGCUAUAGAGGGAGAGGGUGGGGGGCUGAAUAGCUUUGAAAGAUUUUGACUAAUUGAAAACAGGUUUGAACAAUCACAACAAUUACAAAAAGCAAAAGGUAUGGAAAAUGCCUAGAGCAUAAAAUUCACAUCUCAUGCACCUAGUGGAUCAUCCAUGGGCCUAGGCCAUGAAAUGUGAUACACUCACAUGCAUCUAGGGUGUUUUGCAUGCCGUUUACCGGUGUUUUUAGAAAACAAAUACCGAUUGGUUU
This 941-nucleotide long non-coding RNA is filed under the name Medicago truncatula (barrel medic). RNAcentral's name for it is "lncRNA gene2715". The record is from RNAcentral. Lineage: Eukaryota; Viridiplantae; Streptophyta; Magnoliopsida; Fabales; Fabaceae.